RNAcentral lists this transfer RNA (75 nucleotides) under Thiohalocapsa halophila. RNAcentral describes it as "tRNA-Glu". It matches the Rfam family "tRNA". From Rfam's summary of the family: Transfer RNA (tRNA) molecules are approximately 80 nucleotides in length. Their secondary structure includes four short double-helical elements and three loops (D, anti-codon, and T loops). The record is from RNAcentral. Lineage: Bacteria; Pseudomonadati; Pseudomonadota; Gammaproteobacteria; Chromatiales; Chromatiaceae.
GCUCCCUUCGUCUAGCGGUUAGGACGCCGGCCUCUCACGCCGGUAACAGGGGUUCGAAUCCCCUAGGGAGCGCCA